RNAcentral lists this ribosomal RNA (301 nucleotides) under uncultured bacterium. RNAcentral describes it as "partial 16S ribosomal RNA". It matches the Rfam family "Bacterial small subunit ribosomal RNA", at positions 509 to 807 of the family's 1533-position model. The record is from RNAcentral.
CAGCAGCCACGGUAAUACGAGGGGGGCAAGCGUUGUUCGGAAUUAUUGGGCGUAAAGGGCGCGUAGGCGGUUUGGCAAGUUUGGUGUGAAAUCUUCGGGCUCAACUCGAAGUCUGCACCGAAAACUGCCGGGCUUGAGUAUGGGAGAGGUGAGUGGAAUUUCCGGUGUAGCGGUGAAAUGCGUAGAUAUCGGAAGGAACACCUGUGGCGAAAGCGGCUCACUGAACCAUUACUGACGCUGAGGCGCGAAAGCUAGGGGAGCAAACAGGAUUAGAUACCCCAGUAGUCCCUGUCUCUUAUAC